AGAUUGAACGCUGGCGGCAUGCUUUACACAUGCAAGUCGAACGGCAGCACGGGGGCAACCCUGGUGGCGAGUGGCGAACGGGUGAGUAAUGCAUCGGAACGUAUCUUCAAGUGGGGGAUAACGCACCGAAAGGUGUGCUAAUACCGCAUAAUCUCUACGGAGAAAAGCAGGGGAUCGCAAGACCUUGCGCUUUUGGAGCGGCCGAUGUCUGAUUAGCUAGAUGGUGAGGUAAAGGCUUACCAAGGCUUCGAUCAGUAGCUGGUCUGAGAGGACGACCAGCCACACUGGGACUGAGACACGGCCCAGACUCCUACGGGAGGCAGCAGUGGGGAAUUUUGGACAAUGGGGGAAACCCUGAUCCAGCCAUGCCGCGUGAGUGAAGAAGGCCUUCGGGUUGUAAAGCUCUUUCAGCCGGAACGAAACGGUCACGGCUAAUACCCGUGAUCACUGACGGUACCGGAAGAAGAA
RNAcentral lists this ribosomal RNA (468 nucleotides) under uncultured ammonia-oxidizing bacterium. Its description in RNAcentral is "bacterial SSU rRNA". It matches the Rfam family "Bacterial small subunit ribosomal RNA", at positions 26 to 489 of the family's 1533-position model. The record is from RNAcentral.